UACUAGCAGCUGCCUGCCUUGCCCCCACCACCACCAUCACACCGAACCCCCUCCCUGUUCCGCCUCCUCCGCCCCAAAUCCCCAAAUCCCCUCCUCCGAUCCGCCGCCGUCCUUGAUCCGCCGCAGCCGUUGACCCGCCCAGAAUGGCCGCCGGGCCGCCCUCGCCGUCCGGUAAACCCUACUCGCGCAAAUCUCACGCCAGCUCCAAGGCUCCCAGCGUCCCCUCCUUCGACGCCCACAACGGCCCCCUCCUCCCCACCGUCACCUUCUCGCUGCCCUCCACGACCGCCUCCCGCCGGGAGCUGCGCCGCCGCCUCUCCUCCGAGCUCUCCCAGGUGCGCGCUGCCGCCAAGCGCCUCAACUCCCUCUCGGCUCCCGCCCCCUCCUCGGCGCUCUCCGCCACCGACCCGUCCACGCCGCUCCCGCCGCACCCGCCGGCGUCCAAGCACAAGUCCAAGAAGGGCGGGGGAGCCCCGCACCCGCACCCGCACCCGCACCCGCACCCGCACCCGCACCUCUCGGCGGAGGCGCGGCGCAAGCUCUACGCGCCCGUGUUCAAGACCUGCUCCGUGCUGCUCCAGAGGCUGAUGAAGCACAAGCACAGCUGGGUGUUCAACAAGCCGGUAGAUGCGAGCGCGCUUGGCCUGCACGACUACCAUACAAUCAUCACCAAGCCCAUGGACCUCGGCACAGUCAAGUCAAAGCUAGGGGCCGGACAGUACAAGUCACCACGGGAAUUCGCAGGUGAUGUGCGUCUGACAUUCCAGAAUGCCAUGACGUACAACCCCAAGGGCCAGGACGUGCACUUCAUGGCCGAGCAGCUGCUGAACAUGUUCGAGGAGAAGUGGCCGGAGAUUGAGGCUGAGGUAGCUCAGCUAUCACCACAGCCUCCAACACCGUCCUCAGCGGCACCCAGGAAGCCAAAGGAGAUAGAUAAUUCUAGGGUAUUAGAGAGGUCUGAUUCCACAGUUCAUGCUGCCGCGAUGGAGGCUACCCCGAAGACUCACACCGGCAGACCCCCAGUUUUAAAGAAACCCAAGGCAAGGGAGCCCAAUAAGAGGGAUAUGACAUUCUGGGAGAAGCAGCGGCUUAGCAAUAACCUCCAGGAUUUGCCACCGGAGAAGCUAGACAAUGUUGUUCAGAUCAUAAAGAAGAGGAACUUGUCACUCAGCCAGCAUGAUGAUGAGAUUGAGGUUGAUAUCGAUAGCUUUGAUGUUGAAACAUUAUGGGAGCUUGAUAGAUUUGUGACAAACUAUAGGAAGAGUAUAACUAAGAAUAAGCGGAAGGCUGAGCUUGAGCUUUCUGCGGUAAGGCCGGAUGAAGCUGAUCCUGAUCAGGAGCCAGAGAAGGUAGAACAUGUGAGGCAGGAUGAGCCAGAUCAGGAUCAAAUUCCUGCAGUACAAGAGCCGAUUCCAGAACGAGAAGCAGUUGAUGUUGCGCCACCUAAGGAUAAUGCGGCAGAUGACAAUGAGAGAUUUGUGGGUGAAUCAUCACCUGGUCAUUUGGAAGAUCAGAAGGGAGAGAAUGCUGGUAGAUCAAGUAGUUCUGGAAGCUCUAGCAGUGACUCGGGGUCAUCCUCUAGUGAUACGGACUCAGAUAGUUCAUCAGCAGAUGGUUCUGAUGCUGCACAAUCACCCAGAACAUAGCAUCUAUAGGCCAGACGUUGAUGAGGCACUGGAAAGGCCAUAACAACUUAGGUCAACAAAGGAUUCUAGCGUGAAAUUGCCGAACAAGAUUGGUGUAAAUUUUGGUCAUGUAGGAACUCUAACCAGUGCCAUUAUGUCUGUUGUUUUGUUCACAAAGUGGAUGCCCGAGAUAGCACAUGCAUCGAUUCACCUGUACAACUAUCUGCAGUUGUGUACUUACUGUAGAGUGCCGUGUUUACCUAGUCGUCGAGCUGGAAGUUACAUUGGAAUUGGAUAGGAGGAAACCUGAACACUGGGGCAGUGAAACAAGCGGUGAGGUGAAGACCAGGAACCUGGAGGCCUCGCCCUGUUGUAAGAUUGUACAAUUGCUAUAGUCGUGUAAUUUCUGUUGGUGUCUGCAUCAACAUUAGUUUUAUUUUUUUCAAAAGGAAUCAAGUCAGUACCCUAACGGCUGAGAGUACAGCAGUGCACCUUGCAGUUGGAAUGGUGAAGGAGAAGCCUCAAGACAGUUUGAAUGGUGAUCUAUUGUCUUCACUCUUGCACUCUUUGCUAUAAAGAAAGCAUCCCAAGUAGGGACUCCCAA
Molecule: RNA transcript, 2229 nt
Organism: Sorghum bicolor (sorghum)
Lineage: Eukaryota; Viridiplantae; Streptophyta; Magnoliopsida; Poales; Poaceae
Gene name: transcription factor GTE4
Exons: 6
Source: RefSeq, a predicted model, not a curated record